RNAcentral lists this ribosomal RNA (268 nucleotides) under uncultured bacterium. RNAcentral describes it as "partial 16S ribosomal RNA". It matches the Rfam family "Bacterial small subunit ribosomal RNA", at positions 333 to 617 of the family's 1533-position model. The record is from RNAcentral.
UUCUUCCUACGGGAGGCAGCAGUGGGGAAUAUUGCACAAUGGGGGGAACCCUGAUGCAGCGACGCCGCGUGGGUGAAGGAGUAUUUCGGUAUGUAAAGCCCUAUCAGCAGGGAAGAACAAUGACGGUACCUGACUAAGAAGCACCGGCUAAAUACGUGCCAGCAGCCGCGGUAAUACGUAUGGUGCAAGCGUUAUCCGGAUUUACUGGGUGUAAAGGGAGCGUAGACGGAGGAGCAAGUCUGAUGUGAAAAUCCGGGGCCCAACCCCG